UUUAGACCCGUAGCAGAUAGCUCAGUAACACGUGGCCAAACUACCCUAUGGAUCCGGAUAACCUCGGGAAACUGAGGCUAAUCCGGAAUAGGAUUCUCAGGCUGGAACUGCCGAGAAUUCGAAACGCCCCGGCGCCAUAGGAUGUGGCUGCGGCCGAUUAGGUAGACGGUGGGGUAACGGCCCACCGUGCCAGUAAUCGGUACGGGUUGUGAGAGCAAGAGCCCGGAGACGGUAUCUGAGACAAGAUACCGGGCCCUACGGGGCGCAGCAGGCGCGAAACCUUUACACUGCACGCCAGUGCGAUAAGGGGACUCCAAGUGCGAGGGCAUAUAGUCCUCGCUUUUCUGUACCGUAAGGUGGUACAGGAAUAAGGGCUGGGCAAGACCGGUGCCAGCCGCCGCGGUAAUACCGGCAGCCCAGUGAUGACCGCUAUUAUUGGGCCUAAAGCGUCCGUAGCUGGCCACGCAAGUCCAUCGGGAAAUCUGUCCGCUUAACGGGCAGGCGUCCGGUGGAAACUGCGUGGCUUGGGACCGGAAGACCUGAGGGGUACGUCCGGGGUAGGAGUGAAAUCCCGUAAUCCUGGACGGACCACCGGUGGCGAAAGCGCCUCAGGAAGACGGAUCCGACGGUGAGGGACGAAAGCUCGGGUCACGAACCGGAUUAGAUACCCGGGUAGUCCGAGCUGUAAACGAUGUCUGCUAGGUGUGACACAGGCUACGAGCCUGUGUUGUGCCGUAGGGAAGCCGUGAAGCAGACCGCCUGGGAAGUACGUCCGCAAGGAUGAAACUUAAAGGAAUUGGCGGGGGAGCACUACAACCGGAGGAGCCUGCGGUUUAAUUGACUCAACGCCGGACAUCUCACCAGCAUCGACAGUAGCAAUGAAGAUCAGCCUGAUGAGCUUAUUGGAGCUACUGAGAGGAGGUGCAUGGCCGCCGUCAGCUCGUACCGUGAGGCGUCCUGUUAAGUCAGGCAACGAGCGAGACCCGCACUCCUAAU
Molecule: ribosomal RNA, 996 nt
Filed under: Halopiger djelfimassiliensis
Lineage: Archaea; Methanobacteriati; Methanobacteriota; Halobacteria; Halobacteriales; Natrialbaceae
Description: bacterial SSU rRNA
Rfam family: Archaeal small subunit ribosomal RNA
Source: RNAcentral